RNAcentral lists this ribosomal RNA (496 nucleotides) under uncultured bacterium. RNAcentral's name for it is "partial 16S ribosomal RNA". It matches the Rfam family "Bacterial small subunit ribosomal RNA", at positions 28 to 506 of the family's 1533-position model. The record is from RNAcentral.
GAUGAACGCUGGCGGCGUGCCUAAUACAUGCAAGUCGAGCGAACAGAUGAGGAGCUUGCUCCUCUGACGUUAGCGGCGGACGGGUGAGUAACACGUGGAUAACCUACCUAUAAGACUGGGAUAACUUCGGGAAACCGGAGCUAAUACCGGAUAAUAUAUUGAACCGCAUGGUUCAAUAGUGAAAGACGGUUUUGCUGUCACUUAUAGAUGGAUCCGCGCCGCAUUAGCUAGUUGGUAAGGUAACGGCUUACCAAGGCAACGAUGCGUAGCCGACCUGAGAGGGUGAUCGGCCACACUGGAACUGAGACACGGUCCAGACUCCUACGGGAGGCAGCAGUAGGGAAUCUUCCGCAAUGGGCGAAAGCCUGACGGAGCAACGCCGCGUGAGUGAUGAAGGUCAUCGGAUCGUAAAACUCUGUUAUUAGGGAAGAACAAAUGUGUAAGUAACUAUGCACGUCUUGACGGUACCUAAUCAGAAAGCCACGGCUAACUACGU